AAGGGUGCGUAACGCGUGAGCAACAUGCCCGUAUCUGGGAGAUAAGCAUUGGAAACGAUGUCUAAUACCCCAUAAUAAUUGGUUUCACAUGGGAUUAAUUUGAAAGAUACGUCGGAUACGGAUUGGCUCGCGUGACAUUAGCUAGUCGGCGGGGUAACGGCCCACCGAGGCGACGAUGUCUAGGGGUUCUGAGAGGAAGGUCCCCCACACUGGAACUGAGACACGGUCCAGACUCCUACGGGAGGCAGCAGUGAGGAAUAUUGGUCAAUGGGCGGAAGCCUGAACCAGCCAUGCCGCGUGAAGGAAUAAGGCCCUAUGGGUCGUAAACUUCUUUUGUGGUGGAGCAAUAAGUGUUACGUGUAACGCGAUGAGAGUACAUCACGAAUAAGCAUCGGCUAACUCCGUGCCAGCAGCCGCGGUAAUACGGAGGAUGCAAACGUUAUCCGGAUUUAUUGGGUUUAAAGGGUGCGUAGGCUGUUGUGCAAGUCAGGGGUGAAAGCCCGGAGCCCAACUCCGGAACUGCCCUUGAUACUGCAUGGCUGGAGUUCGGAUGCCGUGGGAGGAAUGAGUAGUGUAGCGGUGAAAUGCAUAGAUAUUACUCAGAACACCGAUUGCGAAGGCAUCUCACGAAUCCGACACUGACGCUGAGGCACGAAAGCGUGGGGAUCAAACAGGAUUAGAUACCCUGGUAGUCCACGCAGUAAACGAUGAUAACUAACUGUCGGCGAUAAACAGUCGGUGGCCAAGCGAAAGCGAUAAGUUAUCCACCUGGGGAGUACGUUCGCAAGAAUGAAACUCAAAGGAAUUGACGGGGGCCCGCACAAGCGGAGGAACAUGUGGUUUAAUUCGAUGAUACGCGAGGAACCUUACCCGGGCUCGAACGGCUAGUGAACGACUCAGAGAUGAGAAGUCUC
RNAcentral lists this ribosomal RNA (914 nucleotides) under uncultured bacterium. RNAcentral's name for it is "bacterial SSU rRNA". It matches the Rfam family "Bacterial small subunit ribosomal RNA", at positions 102 to 1017 of the family's 1533-position model. The record is from RNAcentral.